This is a long non-coding RNA of Lotus japonicus, 776 nucleotides long. RefSeq lists it as uncharacterized. Lineage: Eukaryota; Viridiplantae; Streptophyta; Magnoliopsida; Fabales; Fabaceae. The transcript is spliced from 3 exons. The record is from RefSeq and is a predicted model, not a curated record.
GGCUGAUUUCGUGGGGAGCAAGGGGGGAGGAGAUUUCCGCGAAAACUUGACCAAUCUUCGUGCAGUUCGUCCCUACUUCUAGGUAUCGAGGUUCGCAAUUUUCAUGCCCAACUUCUACUCACGAAGGCGAUGGAGAUCCUUCCGCCGAGGCAUAGCUACUCGAGUUGGAGAUCGAGUUGUAAGCGGUGGAGUAGAGGUAUGAGAAGCAGCUUUGCUUCUCUUCUUGUGGAUUAUGUUGGAGUCUCUUUUACUUUAUGAGAACUCUGUUAUUAAAGUCUUGCUUCCGCCACUGUUAAAGUGCGCAUGUUUAUUCUGAACCUUACUUAUGGUAUUGUAAACUAUUAUUACUGUAUAUCGGGAAACAAGUUAUCUAAAUAAAGUUAUGGUAUGUUUCCAACCUUUUAGCCGAAGUGUUUAGUUGUUUUACAGAAAAAAAAUUCCCUUGGUUUUUAGGGAUUGCAGAUUGGUCCUUAGACUUUGUUAGGUUACUAAUGUGACUCCUCAGUUGAGUAAUUGGGGUGUUACAACUAGGUUCUUAUAAUGGGGGUUGCUUUGAAAGUGUUGAUACUGUUGAAAAGGUUUAUUAAUUGACCAAUUGUUAAUGUUGCUAUUCUCUUAUCCCAUGUUAGGAAAUAUAUCAGUUUAAAGUUUAAGGGAAUGAGGUAUUUUUUGUGAAUAGUUCAGCAUAAUAAAAUCGAAGCUGAGAAGGUUUUUCUCAAAGCAAUCCAAAGUUGAUAUCUAGUGCCCUGGCUGUUUCAGGUCAUGAAAUCUGUGGU